Long non-coding RNA from Hylaeus anthracinus, 1014 nucleotides. RefSeq lists it as uncharacterized. Lineage: Eukaryota; Metazoa; Arthropoda; Insecta; Hymenoptera; Colletidae. The transcript is spliced from 3 exons. The record is from RefSeq and is a predicted model, not a curated record.
GUUAGAGCCUUUUCUGGACCUAAUGUUGGAGACUUUUCUGAAGCUAAUGCUAAUGCUUAUGCAACUGCCAAUACUGUAAGCUUCGGACCAGGUGUAAUCUUAAAUGAGGAUAUUGGUGCUUCCAAUGAUCUUAUCAGGAUGAAGAGGCAUCACCAUUCGCAUAAGACUAAGUUGGGUAGUUCUAGUAUUUUCUUGGAAACCCCGAAAACCAAGCUUGCCAUCGGAAAAUCCAAAGUCAAGAUUCAACCCCCGGAUUUGCAUCUCCAUGGACUCCAUCUUUGACGCGAGAGCGCUGAAUUUCCUCGAAGCCUAAUGAAGACGCCUGUUCAUUUUUUUUGUUUGAGAUUAUCAGAACAGUCGGAAUCGUAUUAGCUAGUGAAGAAAUUUUUUUUAAGGGAAACGGAAAGGCAAAAUAUACACGUCGCGUAUGAGUGAACAUAUGCGCGAAACAAAAUUAUUCAAAACAUUUAUUCGAUUCCUUUGAACAAAUUUGGCAAAAGUCUUAUAUAAUGAAUUUAAAAAUAAAAAUACUCCUUAAAUAAAUAUUUUUUUUCGUACAUACGGCAAAACUGACUGCACUGAAGCGAGUGGGCUUAUGGCAAUGCCAGUGGAAGGUCCAUGAUUCGACUACGUCAUCGACACCUUUUGAACGCGGAUAAAUUCCAUUUAAUAUCCAAGAUCACGGAAUAAAAUGAAUAAAACAUGAUCAACGCGAAAGCGUCCCGUCUACGGGCCACGGAUCAUUAUCCUAGUCCAAGGCAAAAAACUCAUCUACCUGGAAUCCCCCAAAAUCAAUGUCUCAAGUAGUCGCUGUUUGUAAUCGUGUUUAAUAUAUGAAAAAAAGUUUCCUCAUUCGAUAACUGUCAUAUUAAUUUAACAAUUACUCAAAUAACUAUUAAUUGAUUCUACUUGACACAUUUUUCUUUCUUCGAGGAAAUGGAAAUUUAAGUUGACCUUCUUUAAUGUACAAAACAAUGUAAUACUAGAAAUAAAACAAUGAAAGUAGUUAUUAAA